CACGAAGGGUGCAAGCGUUACUCGGAAUUACUGGGCGUAAGCGUGCGUAGGUGGUGCGUUAAGUCUGUCGUGAAAGCCCCGGGCUCAACCUGGGAAUGGCGAUGGAUACUGGCUCGCUAGAGUGCGGUAGAGGAGAGUGGAAUUCCCGGUGUAGCAGUGAAAUGCGUAGAGAUCGGGAGGAACAUCAGUUGCGAAGGCGGCUCUCUGGACCAGCACUGACACUGAGGCACGAAAGCGUGGGGAGCAAACAGG
RNAcentral lists this ribosomal RNA (252 nucleotides) under uncultured bacterium. RNAcentral's name for it is "partial 16S ribosomal RNA". It matches the Rfam family "Bacterial small subunit ribosomal RNA", at positions 524 to 776 of the family's 1533-position model. The record is from RNAcentral.